This 65-nucleotide transfer RNA is filed under the name Dipodomys ordii (Ord's kangaroo rat). It matches the Rfam family "tRNA". From Rfam's summary of the family: Transfer RNA (tRNA) molecules are approximately 80 nucleotides in length. Their secondary structure includes four short double-helical elements and three loops (D, anti-codon, and T loops). The record is from Rfam by way of RNAcentral. Lineage: Eukaryota; Metazoa; Chordata; Mammalia; Rodentia; Heteromyidae.
GGUGGCUCAGUGGUAGAGUGCUUGCCUUGUAUGCCUGAGGCCCUGGGUUCGAUUCCCCAGCACCA